This 385-nucleotide RNase P RNA is filed under the name Alphaproteobacteria bacterium. RNAcentral's name for it is "RNase P RNA component class A". It matches the Rfam family "Bacterial RNase P class A". From Rfam's summary of the family: Ribonuclease P (RNase P) is a ubiquitous endoribonuclease, found in archaea, bacteria and eukarya as well as chloroplasts and mitochondria. The record is from RNAcentral. Lineage: Bacteria; Pseudomonadati; Pseudomonadota; Alphaproteobacteria.
UCAGAGAGCUGGAUAGCUGCUUGCUUAAAAAUUUAAAUGGAAGGUGAGAGGAAAGUCCGGGCUUCACAGGAUCAGGAUGCUGGAUAACUUCCAGCGAGGGCGACCUUAGGGAAAGUGCCGCAGAAAUUAAACCGCCUUAUUUUAUAUAAGGUAAGGGUGAAAUGGUGCGGUAAGAGCGCACCGCAGGUUUGGUAACAAAACUGGUCAGGGUAAACCCCAUCCGAAGCAAGAUCAUAUAGGGACAAAAAGCGUCUUGACGCACUGGUGAUCCUGCCAGAUUGUCCGGGUAGAUCGCUUAAACCUAUUGGCAACAAUAUGGUUCAGAUGAAUAGCUAUCAUUGAAGUUCACUUCAAACAGAACCCGGCUUAUAGGCUCUCUGAACAC